UACGUAGGGUGCGAGCGUUAAUCGGAAUUACUGGGCGUAAAGCGUGCGCAGGCGGUUCGUUGUGUCUGCUGUGAGAGCCCCGGGCUCAACCUGGGAAUGGCAGUGGAAACUGGCGAGCUGGAGUGUGGCAGAGGGGGGUGGAAUUCCGCGUGUAGCAGUGAAAUGCGUAGAGAUGCGGAGGAACACCGAUGGCGAAGGCAGCCCCCUGGGCUGACACUGACGCUCAGGCACGAAAGCGUGGGGAGCAAACAGG
Molecule: ribosomal RNA, 253 nt
Filed under: uncultured bacterium
Lineage: Bacteria
Description: partial 16S ribosomal RNA
Rfam family: Bacterial small subunit ribosomal RNA
Source: RNAcentral